UGCCUCACAAGGCCAGGGGGAAGGGGAGAGCCAUCAGGACAUGUAUGCUCCAUCAGCAGGUGGGAGCAGGAGACAGGAAACAACAGACCUGGGAGCCAAAGCCUUUACUGGGGUGCAAGUUAUCGCCCAAGUAAGUUUCACAUGGGAAGUUGUAAUUGGUGGGUUUAGAGCAAACAGGGAGGAGUCCCGUGGAUUCAUGCUGCAACUAAGAGGGUGUCUCUGAAGCAUACCUGUGCAGUCUGUGUGGGUGUGCGGGUCAGUAGGGUGAGUCAAGAAAGAUGUAUGUAGUUGUCUCAUAGUGUGAGGCAACACUAUACUGGAUCCACCACACUGAGGAACUGGGAGGAGAUGGAGCCCUGGAAUCUGUAUUGAGGGUGAUUAGGUCUGCUUCUGACAUCAGAAUGUUACACUUCGACUCAAAAUGGACACGGAGGCAACAUAAAAUGAAAUGGAAACAAAAAAGGCUGUGGCCAAUGCCCUCUUGACGCCGGCAUCCCUUUGUGGUUCUACAUGGCACACAGUGCUUCACUUUUGCAGGAGAACUGAGAAUUUUACCUCUUAAAUAAAAGGGAAACAUUGAUGGGCUACCAUUGUCCUGCUGAAGAUGGGGUGGAGAUUAAAAUCAUCCAUGAGGAUCCUGGACGUGAUCCUUUCAUACUCAGAAGCCACUUCAAGGCUCUACCAUGGACAGAGCAUUCAACCGCACUCCCAGAUUACACCGUUCAGGAGGUCAUCAUUUAUAAUGUGUUUGUGUAAGAACUCAAAGGAAACAUUUGUUAAGUUAGAAGAGCGUGGAGAAAAAAAAAGUGACCUAAUGUAGAAGAGAGUAUGGUAGCUUCCCAGGGGGUGUGUAGAAGCAAAGAAAGGAAACCUUUUCUUCAUGCCUUUUGAGUUCAGCAAAGUGGUGUCAGUGACUUAUUAGAAGAGGCUAAUGCCACAUCAUGUGCCUCCUGCAGCUCACGAAGGGGAAGAAAGUUCUACCCAUGCCUUUUAAUUUCAAACAUGGAAUCCUAACAUUUUUAAAAGUCAUGGCUUCGCUUACAUGUGGUCACCCCUCCUCACCUGAAAAUGAUUAUCUCCAUGGAAGUGUUGUAAGAGACUGUGAAUUAGAAUGCUUUG
This 1119-nucleotide long non-coding RNA is filed under the name Homo sapiens (human). RNAcentral describes it as "HSALNT0084282". Lineage: Eukaryota; Metazoa; Chordata; Mammalia; Primates; Hominidae. The record is from RNAcentral.